RNAcentral lists this ribosomal RNA (490 nucleotides) under uncultured bacterium. RNAcentral's name for it is "partial 16S ribosomal RNA". It matches the Rfam family "Bacterial small subunit ribosomal RNA", at positions 30 to 507 of the family's 1533-position model. The record is from RNAcentral.
AUUGAACGCUGGCGGCAGGCCUAACACAUGCAAGUCGAACGGUAACAGGAAGAAGCUCGCUUCUUUGCUGACGAGUGGCGGACGGGUGAGUAAUGUCUGGGAAACUGCCUGAUGGAGGGGGAUAACUACUGGAAACGGUAGCUAAUACCGCAUAACGUCGCAAGACCAAAGAGGGGGACCUUCGGGCCUCUUGCCAUCGGAUGUGCCCAGAUGGGAUUAGCUAGUAGGUGGGGUAACGGCUCACCUAGGCGACGAUCCCUAGCUGGUCUGAGAGGAUGACCAGCCACACUGGAACUGAGACACGGUCCAGACUCCUACGGGAGGCAGCAGUGGGGAAUAUUGCACAAAGGGCGCAAGCCUGAUGCAGCCAUGCCGCGUGUAUGAAGAAGGCCUUCGGGUUGUAAAGUACUUUCAGCGGGGAGGAAGGGAGUAAAGUUAAUACCUUUGCUCAUUGACGUUACCCGCAGAAGAAGCACCGGCUAACUCCGUG